UGUACCCUGGGUUUAUUUUAACACUGAUUUUUAGGUUCCUGAGUGCCACCGUCUAAUGGUCACUGCAGCCAAACCUGUUCCUGACCUUCACAGCCCAACUAGUUCUUCCUUGUCCAUAAGCAUGAGGUCCAGCAGAGCAUCUCCCCAGUUUUGAGAUGCUUAGAAAUCUGGUGCCACAUAUGUUCAUGAAGUGCAACUCAUGGUGAAGUCCCCACUGCCACCAGCUGCUGGCCUUUGCAAAUUAUCCAUCUUGCGCAAUAAUUUUUAAGGAGCAGCAGCUGGAGUUGGUGAGGGCUGGGAGCUGUUAAGCUGGAAGCAGAAAAGGAUGUGUGUCCAUGGUCUUAUUCAUUAUUUUACUAUCCAAUUUCUACAAAAGCCAGGAGAUGUCUUCUUGUGAGAUAGCUACACUACCUAAAUUUGCUGUGGAGAACUUCAAAGCCAAAGUGAUUUAAAUCUCCAGAUAGACGGAAGAAGGUGUGCAGAGCCACCAGGCUAUACUCUCAUAAUGACUCAUGGAAAGUAUCUUUUGUAUGCAAAGGGUCUUGCGUGGGGGACACAGAAGA
Cygnus olor (mute swan) is the source of this 563-nucleotide long non-coding RNA. RefSeq lists it as uncharacterized. The record is from RefSeq and is a predicted model, not a curated record. The transcript has 3 exons. NCBI's taxonomy places the organism in Eukaryota, Metazoa, Chordata, Aves, Anseriformes, Anatidae.